UCUUUGGGUAAAUACCCAAUAGUGUGAUUACUGGAUCAUAGGGUAGUUCUAAUUUUGAUUCUUUGGGGAACCACCAUACUGUCUUCUACAGUGACCGCACCAGUUUGCAUUCCCACCAAUAGGGCUCCAGGAUUUCC
Molecule: long non-coding RNA, 137 nt
Organism: Lynx canadensis (Canada lynx)
Lineage: Eukaryota; Metazoa; Chordata; Mammalia; Carnivora; Felidae
Exons: 3
Source: RefSeq, a predicted model, not a curated record